Molecule: ribosomal RNA, 116 nt
Filed under: Tigheibacillus jepli
Lineage: Bacteria; Bacillati; Bacillota; Bacilli; Caryophanales; Bacillaceae
Source: RNAcentral
UCUGGCAGCGAUGGCGAAGAGGUCACACCUGUUCCCAUGUCGAACACAGAAGUUAAGCUCUUCAGCGCCGAUGGUAGUUGGGGCAUUGCCCCCGCGAGAGUAGGACGCCGCCAGGC